This is a long non-coding RNA of Macaca mulatta (Rhesus monkey), 2392 nucleotides long. NCBI's taxonomy places the organism in Eukaryota, Metazoa, Chordata, Mammalia, Primates, Cercopithecidae. The record is from Ensembl.
AACUAAUUGUUUUUACGUUAAUCAGAUUUAAAAAAUACUAAGUGUUCCUAUAAAAUAUACACAACACUUAGAUGUGGAUACUUCCUAAAAACAGGCAGUGCAUGAGCACUAGUGAGGGGCACUGUGACUGCAUUGAGUGCUUGCCACUGUGAGGUGAAUAAAGUCUGUACUGGCUCCUGGUUGCAACAUAAAAUAACACAGUGGCUAUCUUGUAUUAGGAGAUGUCCUGGACUCACAAAGAAACACAGGGCUAUGGAAUGAAGGUAAAUAUAAAAUACUACAAGCGGGAGUCACAGAUACAUUGUCUGUGAAAGUGAAACUUAGGAGCUUUGUGAGUCCUGUUGUACGCUUUUAGACACAUUUAUAUGUCAAGGGACCAAAGUCACAUUUUCUACCGAUUAGAUCCUGAUCAUUCAGGGAUUACCAAGAUUCUGCUACCCACUGUAGUUAAUAAACAAAAAGCAAACUGGUCUCUGUUCUAUCUCAUGUACUCAGGCGCAACUUCUCCAGAUUUAAAGAAAAAGAAAAAAGAAAAGGAAAAAAAAGCCCUGUCUCUACACCUCCAUUCCCAGGGCAAGCUCACUCUCCGGCACCAAGCUCUCUGGGGUGAUUUUUCUUCUAGAAGAGUCCACUGGGACAGGACUCCGAUUCUCCCCAGUCGCCAAGGAUGGGGUCAUGGCGCCCCGGACCCUCCUUCCGCUGCUCUGGGGAGCCCUGGUCCUGACCCAGACCUGUGCCGGCUUCCACUCCUUGAGGUAUUUCCACACCGCCACGUCCCGGCCCGGCCGCGGGGUGCCCCCGCUUCAUCUCCGUGGGCUAAGUGGACGACACGCAGUUCGUGCGGUUGGACAGCGACGCCGCGAGUCCUAGGAUGGAGCCGCGGGAGCCGUGGAUGGAGCAGGAGGGGCCGGAAUAUUGGGAGAAGACAGGGACCGCCAAGACCAACGCACAGUUUACCGAAUGAACCUGCGGACCCUGAGCGGCUACUAGAACCAGAGCGAGGCCUGGCCAGGGUCUCACACCAUCUAGAGGAUGCCUGGCUGCGACAAGGGGUCCGACGGGCGCCUCCUCCGGGAGUAUCACCAGCUCGCCUACGACGGCAGGGAUUACAUCGCCCUGAACCAGGACCCGUGAUCCUUGACCGCCGCAGACACGGCGGCUCAGAUCACCCAGCUCAAGUGGGAAGCUGCCGGCGAGGCGGAGGUUCAUCCUCACAGGGGUAGGUACCUAUUCGAUGUGGUGUGUUUUUCCUCUCUACUCUCAGACCCUCAGCCAGUAUCACUAUUGGCAUUCCUGAUCCACUGGCUCAGAAUUUCAGUGCAUUAUCUGCCCGCGGGACACACCUCAGAGGGAAAGGGAUGAAGCGUGGGCCAUGACCAAGGCAUCCCCUGGUCAUAUCACCACCUGCACCUCCCAGGGGCUGCCAGCCACACCGAGUCAUGGACAGGUCUCCACAGACACAACUUAGUACCAGCUUGGAUGAAACCCUCUGAGGAACGGGGGCCAGCUUUCAGGAUGUGCUGCGCGUAUUAAAUCAAAGACGUCUCUAUGGUGCUGUGUUUACAGAAGGAAGAACACGUGGGUCCAAAAACCAUGAAAUUGAAACAGGUAUGGCUCCAUGUCUCAUCCCUUCUACUCACCCUCAGGGUGAUUUUGCACUUCUCAUCUCCAAUAUCGGGGCUCUGCAGGGGAGGAGGUCCUGGUUUCCCAAAGGGGGCACCCUGGCAAGGAGACAAAUGAGAGUCCAUGGACCUACAUCUUAUGGUUGCCCCCAGGGAUGUUUGAAUAGUAUGUGUCCAGACACAAGCAGGUGAGAAGAGGAGGAGGCAGGGCUGCUAUCACACAAGGAAGGCAGAAGUGUGUGUGGAAAUAAGAGAUCCACGUGGAGGCCUUAUGCUUCCCCUUGUCCUGUGGUAAGUUUGAGCAGAAUCAUCCAGCAACCGCAGCCUGAGAGGGUUUGAUACUCAAGAGCCCAGAACCCUCAGGAAGGAAGGACUGAGUGAUACACCUAGAUAAUGUCCCAAGGCUCCGCUCCUGUGCUCUGACAUCCUCAGAAGGGUUAGUGCAGAAGCCCUGCUUCCCAUGGGCUGUUCCCAGCCAGUGACCGGUCACAGCAGGCGCACUAAGGCAGGCCAUUACUGGGAGACACGGGACUCCUCUGAUGGCCAACUGUGGCUGGAGGACUCCUCCAUGGCCUUGCUCAACCCUCCUUAGAUUGCCUGUGCUCUAGGAUGUGUCGAACAAACCUCCUCUCCUUCUGUCCAGCACUUGGUGUCACACUCGCAUUGUGGUCUGCUGCCUUUUCCUGGGAUUUCUGGCUCGCUUCCAUAUUCCCUUACAGGUGUGUCCCCUCAUAAAAUGCCCAGACUUGAAGCUCAUCUUGGCAUCUGCU